Mastomys coucha (southern multimammate mouse) is the source of this 3110-nucleotide RNA transcript. It is a transcript of the gene named zinc finger protein OZF-like, with no coding region annotated. Lineage: Eukaryota; Metazoa; Chordata; Mammalia; Rodentia; Muridae. The transcript is spliced from 5 exons. The record is from RefSeq and is a predicted model, not a curated record.
AGAGGUGCAUAUGGAGAAGUUCAACUAGGCCACCAUACUUUCCCAUGAGCCUUUGUUACUUCCAAAGAACUACAAUUCCCAGCAUUCCAGGAAGUUACGUAGUUCCGGGGCCGAGGAGGUUUCCAGGUUAAUUUUGAGAAUUUCAGAUACAAACUCGCCACUUGGAUUUCAGGAGGAAGAAGAGGAAGUGUGUACUGGGUGCUCCGAGGAACGCUCGGGCCAGGUCCGAAGCUCGACAUGGCCUCCACAUGCUAAGCCAAAUCUGCAUGAGUGUAAAUCAAGACUAAAAGCUCUGGAUGGUAAAGAUCGAGAAGACUCUAAAAAAGAUCAAGGACAUGUUAAGCUUCAAGGACGUGGCUUUGGACUUCUCGCUGGAGGAAUGGGAAUGUCUCAGUUUUGCUCAGAGGACAUUGUACAUGGAUGUGAUGUUGGAGAAUUAUGACAAUCUGUUGUUUGUGGAAAAUCACCACACAUGUGGAAAAUAUGGGAAGGUAUUGGAAGAAGACAUACAUCAUGUUGUCCAUGAGCAUGGGCUUAUCCAAGAGAAGUCUUCUAAAUGUAACGAGCUUAGCAAUAUGAUUCAUGAAUCCUCCCAAAGUACAUCAUAUAAAACUUACCACAGAGAUGCCACUCUUCAAUCCUCAAACCUAAAAAGACAGAAAACUGGGACCACUAAAGAAUUUUGCUCAUGUGAAGACUGCGUAAACUAUUUAAAGGGGUGUUCUAUCAUUAGUCUCAAUGAAGGAAUCCAUAUAGAGAAGAAAGAACAAAAUCAACAUAAAGAACUUGAUAAGAAUUUGCUGUCUAAACAUAAGCUCAUGGUGAAACAAAGUAAUAGUGAAAUGAACACUUGCAAUUGUGGUGAAGUUGACAACUGCUUUACACAGACAGAUGAUCUCCAAAGUCAGCAGAAAGUUUGUCCAGGAAAGAAAUCUUAUAUAUAUAGCGAAAGUGACAAAUGCUUUAUGCAUCAAUUGUGUCUUGGUAUCCAGCAGAGAAUUCAUACACGAGAGAAACUUUAUAAAUGCAGUGAAUGUGACAAAUGCUUUGCCCAACAAUCCUAUCUUAGUAUUCAUCAGAGAAUUCAUUCAGGAGAGAAACCUUACAAAUGUAAUGAAUGUGACAAAUGCUUUAUUGACAAAGGCAAACUGAGAAGGCAUCAGAGAAUUCAUUCAGGAGAGAAACCUUACAAAUGUAAUGAAUGUGACAAAUGCUUUACUGACAAAGCCAAUCUGAGAGUUCAUCAGAGAAUUCAUUCAGGAGAGAAACCUUACAAAUGUAGUGAAUGUGACAAACUCUUUACUGAGAAAGGCAGUCUGAUAAUUCAUCAGAGAAUUCAUACAGGAGAGAAACCUUAUAAAUGUAGUGAAUGUGACAAAUGCUUUGUCCAACAAUCCCAUCUUAGUAUUCAUCAGAGAAUUCAUUCAGGAGAGAAACCUUACAAAUGUAAUGAAUGUGACAAAUGCUUUAUUGGGAAAGGCAGUUUGAGAAUUCAUCAGAGAAUUCAUUCAGGAGAGAAACCUUACAAAUGUAAUGAAUGUGACAAAUGCUUUACUAAGAAAGGCAGUUUGAGAAUUCAUCAGAGAAUUCAUACAGGAGAGAAACCUUACAAAUGCAGUGAAUGUGACAAAUGCUUUACUCGGAAAGGCAAUUUGAGAAUUCAUCAGAGAAUUCAUUCAGGAGAGAAACCUUACAAAUGUAAUGAAUGUGACAAAUGCUUUACUAACAAAGGCGGUCUGAGAAUUCAUCAGAGAAUUCAUACAGGAGAGAAACCUUACAAAUGCAGUGAAUGUGACAAAUGCUUUAUUAACAAAGCCAAUCUGAGAAUUCAUCAGAUAAUUCAUACAGGAGAGAAACCUUACAAAUGCAGUGAAUGUGACAAACUCUUUGCUCAGAAAGGCGGUCUGAGAAUUCAUCAGAGAAUUCAUACAGGAGAGAAACCUUACAAAUGCAAUGAAUGUGACAAAUACUUUUCCUACAAUGUUAGUCUGAGAAUUCAUCAGAGAAUUCAUACAGGAGAAAAGUUUACAAAAAUGCUGUGAAUGUUACAAAAGUGUUACCCACAAAUCAGUCUUAGGAAUUAACAGAGAUUUCAAAUAGUAGAGAAACUUUAUAAAUGAAGUGAAUGAGAUUAUCAUUUGCCAUGAAAUAUCAUCUUAUGAUUCAUUGGAGUAUACUUACAGCAGAGAAACUUUUCAAAUAUAUCGAAGGUGUGAAUCUUUUCUUUUGGCCUGUCCCUUUGAAUAUAGCAGAUAAUAUAUACAGGCAAGAAUCUUAACAAAUAUAAUAUAUGAUGAAAUAUCUUUGAAUUCAUUUCAGUUCCAAGAAAAUGUGUAAAAUUAUAUGUGGGACAGUAGUUCUCUUGGGAAAAUUGUGGCAUAUGUUUUAUUAAGGGUAUAUUCUCUGCAACACUUCUUAAGACACCACACUAGAGAAAUAUUAUGCUAUGGAUAACUUUUGAAAACCUUUAUGCAGCGUUCAAAUCUUAGAUGAUGUCAACUUUUUAUUGCUGGAGAAAUUCUGAAUAUAUGAUAAUGUAGGAAAGUUUUUAUUAAAGUUUUAUUUGUUCGUCCUUAAAUAUUGCAAGAUGAGCACAUGUGGCGAAGCCAGAAGAAUAUAAUGUUGUGUAAAAAUUCAUGAAGAUGGACAUCAUCCAUUUGAAAGGGAAACUAAUUAAGUUGUGCAAUAUAGCCUUCAAAAUUUCUAAUAAAACUGGCAGCAUUCUGUAUGUUUUUUUCAAAGGAAGAAACUCACAUAAAUUUUACUUGAAAGAGUAUUUGAGAGAGAGCAGACCUUGGGCGCAAGCUCUGCAGCCAAUACCACAACACCCAGAGGAAGCUGCACUCCCAGGCACUCUGACACACCCUGGAUCAGAGGUGGUCACCUGGGACAAAAGAGCUUCUGCAGACUAUCAGCUUAUCUCUGAAAGAAGCUGCCUGAGAGGUUCACACUGAGAUACAACUACGCCUUCAACGAAGCCUACUGCCUGAGGACAUUCCAGACAUCAGAGAAGCAGGUGACCUUCCCUAGUGACUCCCUCUUGAUUCCCUCCUGACUCUUUCCUGACUCCUCCCUCAAUGUUUAUAUUAUGAAUACAUUUUAUUUCUGGA